UCAAUUGAAGCCCUGUAGCAAUGCUUUUUUCUUUUCUUCCUGGUGCAGGCAGCAGAUGGUAAUCUCCUAUUUGCUUCCAGUACUCAACAUUCUUUCUUGGUCUUCGAACAAUAGUCCACUAUGAAGCUGAAGAGCUGCUAGCAAUGUCACACUUCUGCUUCUGCAGUACCGAUGAUCCAAAAUAGACAUAUGGUGCAUGAGAUAUUUUCUCCAAAUCAGCUCUUUUCCCAUUUUCAAGAACAGGACAAUCUAUAAUCGACAAAUGUUGCAGUGCAUUGAGACGUUGAAGACCCUCUGGCAAUGACUUGAAAUUUUUGCAGCCUGAGAUUGCUAGAGAUCGGAGUGAAAUGAGUUGUCCCACCCAUUCUGGUAAUUCCAUGAAUUUUAGGCAGCUAUGAAUUUGUAGGUUUUGCAAUGUUGUCACACAUUUCAGCCCCUCAGGCAGA
Molecule: unclassified non-coding RNA, 446 nt
Filed under: Hevea brasiliensis (rubber tree)
Lineage: Eukaryota; Viridiplantae; Streptophyta; Magnoliopsida; Malpighiales; Euphorbiaceae
Source: RNAcentral